This 637-nucleotide long non-coding RNA is filed under the name Setaria viridis. RNAcentral's name for it is "long non-coding RNA (SVIR_LNC002113)". Lineage: Eukaryota; Viridiplantae; Streptophyta; Magnoliopsida; Poales; Poaceae. The record is from RNAcentral.
CCUCGUCGCGCUGCUGCGCUCCAAGAAGCUGCAAGCCCGCGACGCUGGGACGGAUCGCGCGGGGCGCGCCAGGCUCCAGCUCCCACGCUGUCUGGGGCUGACCACGUGGUAGCGUGGCUCCUGGGGGCUCCACCGCCCGUGCUUGGUUGAAAAGGGAAGAAGAAAGAAAAAGCAAAUGAGAUAAGGAUGGUCGGAUGAAAGAAGAGAUGUGGGGAAGGGGGCAGCCCAGCUCAGGGGUCCACGCAUGCUGAUGUGGUAAAUUUUAAAAUAUUAGAAAAUUUAUUAUUGGGAUCUACUAUGGGAUGAUAGAGUUUUGGGGAAAGAAAUUUUUAGUAGAACCUCGAAUAGAUAAUUUUAGGGAAGAAUUUUUUGGCAGACUCUUGGAGACGCUCUUGAUCGUCUUCCUCAACGCUACUGGUGAGGUUCCGAUGAGCUUUCACAAGGUUAGAUCUUGAGUUUUGAGAUUUGAUCAACAUGAUAAUCAUUAUUAAGGAAUGGAGCGAUUAUUAGGAAAAUGCAUAUAUGACAGGCUUGCAUGCCGCGGUGCGGGAGGCAAAGGAUGAGGUGGCGAGGAUGUCACGUACUAAUGUUUCCACCGAAAAUAUGUUUUGCACUCAAAACAUUCCCGUGCAACAAC